This 242-nucleotide ribosomal RNA is filed under the name uncultured bacterium. Its description in RNAcentral is "partial 16S ribosomal RNA". It matches the Rfam family "Bacterial small subunit ribosomal RNA", at positions 67 to 334 of the family's 1533-position model. The record is from RNAcentral.
CGGGCACUUUCGGGUGUCAGUGGCGGACGGGUGAGUAACGCGUAGGAACAUGUCCAGGGGUGGGGGAUAACGCUGGGAAACUGGCGCUAAUACCGCAUGUGAGCUGAGGCUCAAAGCAGUGAUGCGCCUUGGAGUGGCCUGCGUCCGAUUAGCUUGUUGGUGGGGUAAUGGCUUACCAAGGCGACGAUCGGUAGCUGGUCUGAGAGGACGACCAGCCACACUGGGACUGAGACACGGCCCAG